This 497-nucleotide ribosomal RNA is filed under the name uncultured bacterium. Its description in RNAcentral is "partial 16S ribosomal RNA". It matches the Rfam family "Bacterial small subunit ribosomal RNA", at positions 28 to 507 of the family's 1533-position model. The record is from RNAcentral.
GAUGAACGCUGGCGGCGUGCCUAAUACAUGCAAGUCGAGCGAACAGACGAGGAGCUUGCUCCUCUGACGUUAGCGGCGGGCGGGUGAGUAACACGUGGAUAACCUCCCUAUAAGACUGGGAUAACUUCGGGAAACCGGAGCUAAUACCGGAUAAUAUAUUGCACCGCAUGGUUGAAUAGUGAAAGACGGUUUUGCUGUCACUUCUAGAUGGAUCCGCGCCGCAUUAGCUAGUUGGUAAGGUAACGGCUUACCAAGGCAACGCUGCGUAGCCGACCUGAGAGGGUGAUCGGCCACACGGGAACGGAGACGCGGACCAGACUCCUAAGGGAGGCCGCAGUAUGGAAUCUUCCGCAAUGGGCGAAGGCCUGACGGAGCAACGCCGCGUGAGUGAUGAAGGUCUUCGGAUCGUAAAACUCUGUUAUUAGGGAAGAACAAAUGUGUAAGUAACUAUGCACGUCUUGACGGUACCGAAUCAGAAAGCCACGGCUAACUACGUG